UGCACAAGAGCGUGCAAGGACACGGGGUGCACAAGGAUGCACGAGGUCAUGUGAGGACACGGGGUGCACGAGGGCGUGCAAGGACACAGGGUGCACAAGAGCACACGAGGCUGUACAAGGACCUGGGGUGCACGAGGGCGUGCAAGGAUGCGGGGUGCACAAGGGCGCACGAGGGCGUGCAAGGACACGGGACGCACAAGAGUGCACAAGGCUGCACGAGGACACGGGGUGCACGAGGGUGCACAAGGACACGGAGUGCACGAGGACAUGGGGUGCACAAGAGUGCACAAGGUUGCACGAGGACACGGGGUGCACAAGGACAUGGGGUGCACGAGGACAGAAGGUGCACGAGGAUAAAGGGAUGCACAAGGAUACACGAGGGUGCACGAGGGUGCACAAGGAUAAACGUGUGCACGAGGACAGGGGGUGCACGGGGCACAAGCGGCGUUGCACGAGGAUUCACGAGGACUCACGAGGACUCACGAGGAUGCACGAGGACGAAGGGGGUCACACG
Molecule: long non-coding RNA, 514 nt
Filed under: Anas platyrhynchos platyrhynchos (common mallard)
Lineage: Eukaryota; Metazoa; Chordata; Aves; Anseriformes; Anatidae
Description: lncRNA (ENSAPLG00000024448.1)
Source: RNAcentral